This 355-nucleotide transfer-messenger RNA is filed under the name Planctomycetota bacterium. RNAcentral's name for it is "Planctomycetes bacterium transfer-messenger RNA". It matches the Rfam family "transfer-messenger RNA". From Rfam's summary of the family: Bacterial tmRNA, also known as 10Sa RNA or SsrA, is named for its dual tRNA and mRNA-like properties. Its role is to liberate the mRNA from a stalled ribosome. To accomplish this part of the tmRNA is used as a reading frame that ends in a translation stop signal. Lineage: Bacteria; Pseudomonadati; Planctomycetota. The record is from RNAcentral. RNAcentral also lists the same sequence under 1 other name.
GGGGGCGAACGGCUUCGACCGGAUAGCGGAGAAGCAGGUCGCAUGUCCAGGACGCCGGUUGGCCUGGCUAAUCAUCCGGCAACAAAACUUAAACGGCAACUAUCAGUUGCAAAUGGCUGCUUAAUUAGCAGCCCGUCCUCUCAGACUUUGCCUGUGAGUUUGAUAUGGGCGUCAGAAAGCAGGCUGGCCGAGUCGGUUGUUCGGGCCGACUUCGGCAAGAUUAAUCCCGAAAUAGCCGAGCCCAGAGCCUGUCGUUUGGCGCUUGGCAAGGCGAAAAAUAAUAAAGCGACUAAGCAUGUAGACGCCUGUUUUGAAGCAUCUCGGGACGGGGGUUCGAAUCCCCCCGCCUCCAUUG